GAUGAACGCUGGCGGCGUGCCUAAUACAUGCAAGUCGAGCGAACGGACGAGAAGCUUGCUUCUCUGAUGUUAGCGGCGGACGGGCGAGUAACACGUGGAUAACCUACCUAUAAGACUGGGAUAACUUCGGGAAACCGGAGCUAAUACCGGAUGAUAUUUUGAACCGCAUGGUUCAAAAGUGAAAGACGGUCUUGCUGUCACUUAUAGAUGGAUCCGCGCUGCAUUAGCUAGUUGGUAAGGUAACGGCUUACCAAGGCAACGAUGCAUAGCCGACCUGAGAGGGUGAUCGGCCACACUGGAACUGAGACACGGUCCAGACUCCUACGGGAGGCAGCAGUAGGGAAUCUUCCGCAAAGGGCGAAAGCCUGACGGAGCAACGCCGCGUGAGUGAUGAAGGUCUUCGGAUCGUAAAACUCUGUUAUUAGGGAAGAACAUAUGUGUAAGUAACUGUGCACAUCUUGACGGUACCUAAUCAGAAAGCCACGGCUAACUACGUG
Molecule: ribosomal RNA, 497 nt
Filed under: uncultured bacterium
Lineage: Bacteria
Description: partial 16S ribosomal RNA
Rfam family: Bacterial small subunit ribosomal RNA
Source: RNAcentral